UGGGGAAUCUUCCGCAAUGGGCGCAAGCCUGACGGAGCAACGCCGCGUGAGUGAAGAAGGUUUUCGGAUCGUAAAGCUCUGUUGAGAGGGACGAGAGAUAUAAUCAGGAAAUGGGUUAUAGAGGACGGUACCUUUCGAGGAAGCCACGGCUAACUACGUGCCAGCAGCCGCGGUAAUACGUAGGUGGCGAGCGUUGUCCGGAAUUAUUGGGCGUAAAGGGAGCGCAGGUGGGAAAGUAAGUCAGUCUUAAAAGUUCGGGGCUCAACCCCGUGAUGGGAUUGAAACUACUUUUCUUGAGUGCAGGAGAGGAAAGCGGAAUUCCUAGUGUAGCGGUGAAAUGCGUAGAUAUUAGGAGGAACACCAGUGGC
RNAcentral lists this ribosomal RNA (368 nucleotides) under uncultured Veillonellaceae bacterium. RNAcentral's name for it is "bacterial SSU rRNA". It matches the Rfam family "Bacterial small subunit ribosomal RNA", at positions 355 to 716 of the family's 1533-position model. Lineage: Bacteria; Bacillati; Bacillota; Negativicutes; Veillonellales; Veillonellaceae. The record is from RNAcentral.